Molecule: transfer RNA, 71 nt
Filed under: Candidatus Woesearchaeota archaeon
Lineage: Archaea; Nanobdellati; Candidatus Woesearchaeota
Description: tRNA-Ala
Rfam family: tRNA
About the family: Transfer RNA (tRNA) molecules are approximately 80 nucleotides in length.
Source: RNAcentral
GGGCUUGUAGUUCAAUGGAAGAAUGUUGCCUUCGCAGGGCAGAGAUGCGGGUUCAAUUCCCGCCAAGUCCA